GUCUACCUACGGGAGGCAGCAGUGGGGAAUAUUGCACAAUGGGGGGGAACCCUGAUGCAGCGCCGCCGCGUGGGUGAAGGAGUAUUUCGGUAUGUAAAGCCCUAUCAGCAGGGAAGAACAAUGACGGUACCUGACUAAGAAGCACCGGCUAAAUACGUGCCAGCAGCCGCGGUAAUACGUAUGGUGCAAGCGUUGUCCGGAUUUACUGGGUGUAAAGGGAGCGCAGGCGGCGCGUUAAGCCUGGUGUGAAAGCCCGCGGCCCAACCGCGGGACUGCAUUGGGAACUGGCGCGCUGGAGUGCCGGG
RNAcentral lists this ribosomal RNA (305 nucleotides) under uncultured bacterium. Its description in RNAcentral is "bacterial SSU rRNA". It matches the Rfam family "Bacterial small subunit ribosomal RNA", at positions 334 to 653 of the family's 1533-position model. The record is from RNAcentral.